This 513-nucleotide ribosomal RNA is filed under the name uncultured bacterium. RNAcentral's name for it is "partial 16S ribosomal RNA". It matches the Rfam family "Bacterial small subunit ribosomal RNA", at positions 28 to 523 of the family's 1533-position model. The record is from RNAcentral.
GAUGAACGCUGGCGGCGUGCCUAAUACAUGCAAGUCGAGCGAACAGACGAGGAGCUUGCUCCUUUGACGUUAGCGGCGGACGGGUGAGUAACACGUGGGUAACCUACCUAUAAGACUGGGAUAACUUCGGGAAACCGGAGCUAAUAACGGAUAAUAUUUCGAACCGCAUGGUUCGAUAGUGAAAGAUGGAUCUGCUAUCACUUAUAGAUUGACCUGCUCCGUAUUAGCUAGUUGGGAAGGUAACGGCUUACCAAGGCAACGAUACGUAGCCGACCGGAGAGGGUGAUCGGCCACACUGGAACUGAGACACGGUCCAGACUCCUACGGGAGGCAGCAGUAGGGGAUCUUCCGCAAUGGGCGAAAGCCUGACGGAGCAACGCCGCGUGAGUGAUGAAGGUCUUCGGAUCGUAAAACUCUGUUAUUAGGGAAGAACAAACGUGUAAGUAUCUGUGCACGUCUUGACGGUACCUAAUCAGAAAGCCACGGCUAACUACGUGCCAGCAGCCGCGGUAA